RNAcentral lists this unclassified non-coding RNA (430 nucleotides) under soil metagenome. Its description in RNAcentral is "partial contains 5.8S ribosomal RNA, internal transcribed spacer 2, and large subunit ribosomal RNA". The stretch from base 1 to 120 matches the Rfam family "5.8S ribosomal RNA", at positions 35 to 154 of the family's 154-position model. The record is from RNAcentral.
GAUGAAGAACGUAGCGAAAUGCGAUACGUAAUGUGAAUUGCAGAAUUGAGUGAAUCAUCGAAUCUUUGAACGCAUAUUGCGCUCUCUGGUAUUCCGGAGAGCAUGCUUGUUUGAGUAUCAGUAAACACCUCAACUCCCUUUUCUUUUUUGAAAUUGGAGCUGGACUUGAGUGAUCCCAACGCUUUCUUCCAAGAAAGUGGCGGGUUGCUUGAAAUGCAGGUGCAGCUGAACUUUUCUCUGAGCUAUAAGCAUAUCUAUUUAGUCUGCCUAAAAAACAGAUUAUUACCUUUGCUGCAGCUAACAUAAAGGAGACUAGUUCUUGUGCUGACUGAUGCAGGAUUCACAGAGACAGCUUCGGCUGACUUUGUAAACUCGAUCUCAAAUCAAGUAAGACUACCCGCUGAACUUAAGCAUAUCAAUAAGCGGAGGA